CACUCAGCAAACACGCAAGAUUAGAAGUACAAUAUCAACUUCCGUCUACCAGUUUUCGAGGAGGUUGAAGAAAGAAAUAGCUGUCACCAUGCGAGGUUUAGCGCAAUUACAGUUAAUAGCACGCAGAGGGUUGGCAACAAAAGCAGCAAAAGCGAAGCCAGCUGGAACAUACCCUGCAGCUGAAGGUUACAAACACAUACAGCAACUUCAGAAUGUAUUUCUUAAGGAGGAUGGUUUAUUAGUAUGGCAGAAGCGUGGACCAACAGAUACAGUGAUGUACCAUAUAUCGAUGGGGAUUAUGUUACUCGGUUGUAUUCCAGCUGCUCUAGUAAUCUAUAAAUUGUCUUUUCCUCAAAAGAAAUAACUGGAUGUGUACGGGGUGAAAUGGAAGACUUUAAUUUUGAUUUGUGUAAACUAGAAGAAAACAAAAACACUGUGAAACUUGUUGAAUUAAACAUGAUAGUAACAAGAGAAAACAUACUUUAACAUUUUA
This is a long non-coding RNA of Patella vulgata (common limpet), 493 nucleotides long. RefSeq lists it as uncharacterized. Lineage: Eukaryota; Metazoa; Mollusca; Gastropoda; Patellidae. The transcript has 3 exons. The record is from RefSeq and is a predicted model, not a curated record.